UGGUAGUUUUAUCCAGGAGAGA
Molecule: non-coding RNA, 22 nt
Filed under: Rattus norvegicus (Norway rat)
Lineage: Eukaryota; Metazoa; Chordata; Mammalia; Rodentia; Muridae
Source: RNAcentral